GAUGAACGCUGGCGGCGUGCCUAAUACAUGCAAGUCGAGCGAACGGACGAGAAGCUUGCUUCUCUGAUGUUAGCGGCGGACGGGUGAGUAACACGUAGAUAACCUACCUAUAAGACUGGGAUAACUUCGGGAAACCGUAGCUAAUACCGGAUAAUAUUUUGAACCGCAUGGUUCAAAAGUGAAAGACGGUCUUGCUGUCACUUAUAGAUGGAUCCGCGCUGCAUUAGCUAGUUGGUAAGGUAACGGCUUACCAAGGCAACGAUGCAUAGCCGACCUGAGAGGGUGAUCGGCCACACUGGAACUGAGACACGGUCCAGACUCCUACGGGAGGCAGCAGUAGGGAAUCUUCCGCAAUGGGCGAAAGCCUGACGGAGCAACGCCGCGUGAGUGAUGAAGGUCUUCGGAUCGUAAAACUCUGUUAUUAGGGAAGAACAUAUGUGUAAGUAACUGUGCACAUCUUGACGGUACCUAAUCAGAAAGCCACGGCUAACUACGUGCCAGCAGCCGCGGUAAUACGUAGGUGGCAAGCGUUAUCCGGAAUUAUUGGGCGUAAAGCGCGCGUAGGCGGUUUUUUAAGUCUGAUGUGAAAGCCCACGGCUCAACCGUGGAGGGUCAUUGGAAACUGGAAAACUUGAGUGCAGAAGAGGAAAGUGGAAUUCCAUGUGUAGCGGUGAAAUGCGCAGAGAUAUGGAGGAACACCAGUGGCGGAGGCGACUUUCUGGUCUGUAACUGACGCUGAUGUGCGAAAGCGUGGGGAUCAAACAGGAUUAGAUACCCUGGUAGUCCACGCCGUAAACGAUGAGUGCUAAGUGUUAGGGGGUUUCCGCCCCUUAGUGCUGCAGCUAACGCAUUAAGCACUCCGCCUGGGGAGUACGACCGCAAGGUUGAAACUCAAAGGAAUUGACGGGGACCCGCACAAGCGGUGGAGCAUGUGGUUUAAUUCGAAGCAACGCGAAGAACCUUACCAAAUCUUGACAUCCUUUGACAACUCUAGAGAUAGAGCCUUCCCCUUCGGGGGACAAAGUGACAGGUGGUGCAUGGUUGUCGUCAGCUCGUGUCGUGAGAUGUUGGGUUAAGUCCCGCAACGAGCGCAACCCUUAAGCUUAGUUGCCAUCAUUAAGUUGGGCACUCUAAGUUGACUGCCGGUGACAAACCGGAGGAAGGUGGGGAUGACGUCAAAUCAUCAUGCCCCUUAUGAUUUGGGCUACACACGUGCUACAAUGGACAAUACAAAGGGCAGCGAAACCGCGAGGUCAAGCAAAUCCCAUAAAGUUGUUCUCAGUUCGGAUUGUAGUCUGCAACUCAACUACAUGAAGCUGGAAUCGCUAGUAAUCGUAGAUCAGCAUGCUACGGUGAAUACGUUCCCGGGUCU
This 1372-nucleotide ribosomal RNA is filed under the name uncultured bacterium. RNAcentral describes it as "bacterial SSU rRNA". It matches the Rfam family "Bacterial small subunit ribosomal RNA", at positions 28 to 1381 of the family's 1533-position model. The record is from RNAcentral.